GAGGAUGCGCGGACUUCGUUACAGAAGAAACUGCAGAGGCAGAACGGCCGCAAUGGUGCGUCAGGAUCAAAGUGGCAAAGCAAAGGAAGGGGUCACAAAGAGUCGGUUCCAGCUAUGCGCAUCCACAGCAAGCCCUCCGCUCGCGCAG
This 148-nucleotide non-coding RNA is filed under the name Symbiodinium sp. Mp. The record is from RNAcentral. Lineage: Eukaryota; Dinophyceae; Suessiales; Symbiodiniaceae.